GUGAACGCUGGCGGUAGGCCUAACACAUGCAAGUCGAACGGCAGCACAGUAAGAGCUUGCUCUUACGGGUGGCGAGUGGCGGACGGGUGAGGAAUACAUCGGAAUCUACUUUUUCGUGAGGGAUAACGUAGGGAAACUUACGCUAAUACCGCAUACGACCUACGGGUGAAAGCAGGGGAUCUUCGGACCUUGCGCGAUUGAAUGAGCCGAUGUCGGAUUAGCUAGUUGGCGGGGUAAAGGCCCACCAAGGCGACGAUCCGUAGCUGGUCUGAGAGGAUGAUCAGCCACACUGGAACUGAGACACGGUCCAGACUCCUACGGGAGGCAGCAGUGGGGAAUAUUGGACAAUGGGCGCAAGCCUGAUCCAGCCAUACCGCGUGGGUGAAGAAGGCCUUCGGGUUGUAAAGCCCUUUUGUUGGGAAAGAAAAGCAGCAGGUUAAUACCCCGCUGUUCUGACGGUACCCAAAGAAUAAGCACCGGCUAACUUCGUG
RNAcentral lists this ribosomal RNA (491 nucleotides) under uncultured bacterium. RNAcentral's name for it is "partial 16S ribosomal RNA". It matches the Rfam family "Bacterial small subunit ribosomal RNA", at positions 29 to 507 of the family's 1533-position model. The record is from RNAcentral.